Cyprinus carpio carpio is the source of this 1447-nucleotide long non-coding RNA. The record is from Ensembl. NCBI's taxonomy places the organism in Eukaryota, Metazoa, Chordata, Actinopteri, Cypriniformes, Cyprinidae.
CCCUGGGACGGGGACAGCGGAGGUUCUAGGUGACCUGCCCCAGGAGGUAGCGAACACCAUCACUUCGGCAAGAGCACCGUCUACGAGACACGCUUACGCCUUGAAGUGGAACCUGUUCGUCAGUGGUGUUCUUCUCGCCGAGAAGACCCCCGAAGAUGCCCGAUUGCGGUUGUGCUUUCCUUUCUGCAGCAAGGGCUGGAGCGAAGGCUGUCUCCCUCCACCCUCAAAGUCCAGGUUGCCGCUAUUGCUGCGUACCAUGACCCCGUGAAUGGGAAGUCUUUAGGUAAGCAUGACCUCGUCAUCAGGUUCCUUAGAGGGGCCAGGAGGUUAAAUCCUUCCCGGCCCCCCUCCAUACCCUCUUGGGACCUGACUCUGGUGCUAAAAUCACUACAGCAGGGCCCAUUCGAGCCUUUGCAUUCAGUCGAGCCAAAGUUUCUUUCAUUGAAAACUCUGCUCCUGCUUGCACUGGCCUCCAUCAAGAGGGUAGGGGACCUGCACGCAUUUUCGGUCGACGAUUCGUGCCUAGAGUUUGGGCCGGCUGACUCCCAGGUAAUCCUGAGGCCCCGGCCCGGCUACGUGCCCAAGGUUCCCACUACACCCUUCAAAGACCAAGUGGUGAACCUGCAAGCGCUGCCCCUGGAGGAGGCAGACCCAGCCCUAGCUUUGCUCUGUCCCGUCCGAGCAUUGAGAUGCUACGUAGACCGGACACAAAGCUUCAGGACCUCAGACCAGCUCUUUGUCUGUUACGGAGGCCGGCAGAAGGGGAAUGCCGUCUCUAAGCAGAGGAUGGCCCACUGGAUUGUGGAUGCCAUAGCCCUGGCUUAUCAGGCACAGGGUGUGCCCUGCCCGUUCAGGUUGCGAGCUCACUCGACAAGAAGUGUUGCAUCCUCCUGGGCGCUGGCUCGUGGCGCCUCGCUGACAGAUAUUUGUAGAGCUGCGGGCUGGGCGACCCCUAACACGUUCGCUAGGUUCUAUAGCCUUCGUGUAGAGCCGGUAUCCUCCUGUGUUCUCACCUCAAACGGGUAGUGGCACCGAGAGGCCCCGGUUAGUGUCGGCUUGCUAAAACCGCUCCAGAGUGUCCGUACUGCAGACCCUGUUGAGAUCCUCCAUCACCCUAGGCAGCUGGGACGCGGCGGGAACGUCCGGCGCCAGGCCUUCAUGAUGAAUCCGUGAGAACCAUGGAAGGCUGGGUUCCAUAUUGAGACUUAAACGGUACUCAUAUGUGUAUAGUCCACGGUAUAGCCUUAGAGCCCGUGUUUCCCCGGCAGACUUCUGCCUUCCCAAGAGGGUUUUAAUCACCUCAAAUUUCUCCAUAUACACCUAAACGGAUGCUAUGUGUGUAUUUGCUCCCGAGACCUCCUUCGGGAAGGAUGGGGCUUCCGCAGCGUCCCUGUUCCAAGCGACGGAGUACGUUUUCCCAGUGUUAUCCAAUCUCACCCAGUGAUGU